Molecule: non-coding RNA, 3131 nt
Organism: Styela clava
Lineage: Eukaryota; Metazoa; Chordata; Ascidiacea; Stolidobranchia; Styelidae
Source: RefSeq, a predicted model, not a curated record
UUCGGAUGUAGAACUGUUGUUGAUGUUGAAAUUGAAGAUGCGAAGACACGAUGUAACGAAACCGAGGGAAAAUCUACAGCUUUCUUAAACACUUGUUGAAAGUUGACAAGGCAGUAUACUACUUCAUCAAUAGGAGAAAUUCGUCUCAGUGAGAUAGAAGCCUAUCGAGUCUGACCAGCAAAGCAACUUUCCCCAACACUGAUUGAAAGUUAGCAAGACAGUACAUCAUUUCAUCAAAAGAAUUGCCUCGUCAUUUGCCUGGUAUUCAUCACUGAUUGAGAUAGAAGCCCAUCGAGUCUGGUCAGAAAAGCAACUUUCUAAGAGACUGCUUGAACGUUAGAAAGGCAGUACAUCAAUUUCAUCAAACGAAAUUCGCCGUGGUCAUUUGUCUGGUAUUCAUCACUGAUUAAGAUGAGAGCCUAUCGCGUCUGGUCAGCAGAGCAACCUUCUAAAGGACUGCUUGAACGUUAGAAAGACAGUACAUCAAUUUCAUCAAACGAAUUUCGUCGUGGUCAUUUUGUCUGAUAUUCAUCACUGAGCAAGAUGAGAGCUUAUCGAGUCUGGCCAGCAGAGCAAGUUUUCUCAAUUAAAGAACUUGGAAUCUGGAAUCAUAAAAAGUGAUAAAACUUGAGUAUUCAAAUCUGAAAGAGAGUUUUAUCAAACAUGUCUGAGAACUACCUGCAAACAAAUGAAUUGAGCUGCACUUGAGACUAUUUUAGCCGUUACCCAAUGGCAUGAGACUAUUUUAGACUAUACCCAAUGGCACGAGACUAUUUUAAGCUAUACCCAAUGGCAUGAGACUAUUUCAGACUAUACUCAAUGGCAUGAGACCAUUCUAGAUACUAUACCCAAUGCCAUAAGACUAUUUCAGACUAUACCCAAUGCCAUGAGACUAUUUUAGACUAUUCCCAAUGGCAUACGUACUUUAAUCUUAUAUGCAAGAAAAAAUGGGUCGACCAAUCACGUUCUUGUGAUUUUAAUAAACGGAAACAGAUUCUUGAUCGAACCAUUGUUUAGAAACCACACAAAUUUUUUUCUUCAUUACGCUACAAUACAAUUUCUAUAUUUGAUUCCAUAUUUAUGAAAAAUUAAGAAUCUAUAGUUCAUGUCUUAUGUAAAAUUAAAUAGUGGAUAUAUCUAUUAUACCAAAACAUCGUUUAAAUUUGUAUUUUAAAUUUUCCAUUUCAUCACUCCAUUCCAUCCAUUCUAAACAUACAUUCCUGUGAUUACUUUAAUAAUUUGGCAUGAAGGAGGCGGCGUCAUUCAACAUAUUUGUCAUAUAACUUAAUUAUACAAAUAUUUUCUUAUUAAUAAGGAAUGAGCAUUCAAAAUAUAAUGCUAUGAUAUCUCAUUAUUGUCUUAUUUACUCAUUUUGAUACCAUUUGUAAUCAGUACGAACUAAAUAAAGUCUAUUCAUGGUUGUCAAUGCUACCUAACACACAAAUCUAAUCUAUUACCGGUACUUUAUCAACACUGCUUGUUCUUUGUUUGGAAUCGUCUUCAGAAAACAAACCAGGCCGGCAUGGUUUGUCUAUUCUGUCGAUGAAUCUCCAUCAAAAAACAAAACAAAAAACAAACAUACUACACUCACAUACACAGGGGUUGGGAGGGGGGAUGGGGUUCUGGUGGUUGGUGGGCCCAUGAAGGGAGGGAAUACACAGCAUGACAAUCAUAGUAGCAAUAUUUGUUCGGUCAAUACUAAACUAAAAUAUAAAUGACCACAGAAUCUGGCAAUUGGUGGUCAAAAUUAUAUGUUUUUAUUUUAAUAUUUAUGACAGUAAACAUGGCAAUACAGUUGAAUGUCAGUACCUUCUUUUCAAAUCAGAACUUAAAUAACAAUCAAAGCAUUUUACGAAUCCGAGUAUGUAGAUUGUUUGACAAGCCUCUUUUUGGUGGCGUCAUUCUUACUAACCAUAAUUUCUUAUAGUUCAAGAAAAUAAGACAAAUUCAGAUACACCAAAACUACUUUUUGUUUUUCCCAUAUCCAAUAUUUAUUUUGAUUUUCAAUAAAUAUAUCCACAAUGUUUUAAUUUUUGUUGAUUAAUGUUUAUCCCUUAUGGUAUUUUGUUAAGAAUAUUAGGAUUUCUCUGAGAAUAGUGCUAUUUUUAUCUGAUAAUAGUUUUGUGUGUUACAAAUUCAAAUGUACCAACCUGUUAGCUAAAAAUUGACUGAGAUAUUUAUAUUCAAUUAGCACUAAAGAAUUAUGCAAUUUUUUAAUGGGCUUCAUAACAACCAAGACCGUAAAUAGUUUUAUCAUUAUAGACAUUUUGAUUUGAAAACGGUUAUUUUUCCUAUUCAUUUUUUGUAGAAUAUGCUAAUUUUUAAGGUACAAUCAUACUAAUACUGUUUUAUGUAUACUUGUGAUAUUGCAUAUUUGAAAAUGAUUCCCUUUUCUGUAAUAGCCUCCAUAUAUUGCUAUCAUUUGUCAUAAUUAUUAUUUUCUAUUCUAUUUUUCUUGAGAUAUUUUCAACAGGAAACAAGUUAUCAAAAGAGCAACAGAAGAACAAAAAUUUACAGGGCAUGCCAUGGCUUUUUUGUUUCUUUGUUUUUAAAUAGUUUUUUCAUUUAUUUUUUUUUUAUUCUUGAGAGAUUUACCCAUUAGGACAUUCCCACCAUUAGGAGUGAGAAUGAUUUCACCAGGCCUAGUUAUUAUUAUUGUAUCCCAGUUUUUCAGGUGCACAAUUAUAAAGAUUGAAAUGAAAAACAGAAGGAACCAAGAACAAAUAUACCAAGUACAUUCUUCCAUAGAUUUGUUUAAGCUUAGUUUUAUAAUGUUAUCUUAGCUUUUCAGAUAUACGACUAUGAAGAUGAAAAACAGAAAGAAGACCAAGGAGAAAUAGACCAAGUAAAAUUAGACUUAGUUUUAUUAAUGUUAGAGCUUUUCAGUUAUAUAUGAAGAUGAAGAAAUGAAGGAAUGAAGGAAGAACCAAUGACAAAUAGACCAAGUAAAUUUUUUAUAUAGAUUUAAUUAGGAUUAGUUUUAUUAAUGUUAUCUUAGAUUUCAGAUAUAAGACUAUGAAGAUAAAAAACAGAAGGAACACCAAGGACAAAUAUACCAAGUAAAUCUUUUAUAUAGAUUUUAUUAGGCUUUAUUAGGUUUUAUUAAUGGUAUAGCUUUUCAGUUAUAGGAC